AGGACGUUGGUUCUAUUUUGUUGGUUUCUAGGACCAAUGUAAUGAUUAAUAGGGACAGUUGGGGGCAUUCGUAUUUAACUGUCAGAGGUGAAAUUCUUAGAUUUGUUAAAGACGAACUACUGCGAAAGCAUUUGCCAAGGAUGUUUUCAUUAAUCAAGAACGACAGUAGGGGGUUUGAAGACGAUUAGAUACCGUCGUAAUCUCUACCAUAAACUAUGCCGACUAGAGAUAGGGAAAUGCCUACCUUGGCUUCUCCUGCACCUCAUGAGAAAUCAAAGUCUCUGGGUUCUGGGGGGAGUAUGGUCGCAAGGCUGAAACUUAAAGGAAUUGACGGAGGGGCACCACCAGGCGUGGAGCCUGCGGCUUAAUUUGACUCAACACGGGGAAACUCACCAGGUCCAGA
Molecule: ribosomal RNA, 403 nt
Filed under: Eimeria labbeana
Lineage: Eukaryota; Apicomplexa; Conoidasida; Eucoccidiorida; Eimeriidae
Description: SSU rRNA
Rfam family: Eukaryotic small subunit ribosomal RNA
Source: RNAcentral